GCCCGGAGGUCUCUUGAGCUCUUCCUGGCUGCGUCCCUCCUCAGAGCCGGGUCCCCACUCAGGUCCCUAUCCCUGUGCCGGUGAGAGUGGCACAAACCAAACGGGCUGGACCAGAGCUGCUUGCUGUGGAGAAGGGCAGUGGGAAGGGUACAGGCAGUUCUGCGGUGGGACUUUGGCUUCAUACAAGCAUGAACCCAAUAAACAGAGCUUUUUCCACAAUGGGUUUGAGGGGCUUAACCCUGUGCCUGCCCUCGGGGCAUCUUUAGGGAGUGAAGCACACAGAAAGGGUGAAAGAGGGGCACAGCUGUCAUGAAGCUAGGGACACUGGCUCUGGACCAGAAGUGCUGCAAAAGGAGAUGCUGAUUUCCAGCACCCUGUACCUGAGAGCGGACAAGGAUGUCACACAGGGACACUCCAUGUGAGCCCCCACUCCCCAGCCCUGCACCAAGGUGAGGCUUUUCGAAAGAUGCCAACUGAAAACUCAGCCCCCAGGCCAAGCCCCACUGCCUUGGAGCCCUGAUCCUGCCACAUUCCCAGAGCCACAAAGCCAGUGUCUCCACCGUCACCAGCUGCCAGGCCCCCCCAGCUCCCCGCCUCUGCCCCUGUGGGCUUGUGGGCUGCCGGCAGGGGGCAACACUCCCCAGCGCCUUGCUUCCCAUCUGGAAGCAAGGAUGGAAGCUCCCUAGAUGGAGCUGGGCCAACACCUGCAUGAGGACAAGUCACAUGGAAGUGGCACCACCGCAGCCUCACUGCUCCUCUCUGACCUCACAGGACACCCAUGUGUCCCCUGUGUGUCACCGGCGGGUCCAGAGUGGGCAUUUGCUUCAGGCUGCAGGACUUCGGGCUGUGUUCCUGUGCACCACAUCCACAUGUCAGGUGCUUGGGGACAGAUGUCCCAUCCCCAGGCAUGGGCACAGCUCCCGUCCCACACUGCCUGCAGCCGCAUGGUCUCUCCUGUGUCAGCGGCCAAACACACUGCAAGGUAGCACAGGGCCGCUGCAGAUCCCCAGCUCCAGCCACGUCUCUGCCGUUGGAUGAUGCUGUGGUCAGCACAGAGACCUCCAAAGUGCAGAGCCGCAGCGCCUUCCCACAAGCGGCUGAGUGCAGGAUCCCAUCCCACGGGGGAGCUGUCGGGAUGCGGGAAUGGGGCCGUGCACGUGGAGCUGGGGAGCAGCGUGGCUCCGAAUCGCUGCUGACCCCUCCGGGACUCGAACUACGUUUCCCACAGCACUUUGCAAAACGAACUGCCCCCUCCUCCGGGUUCUGCGGGACAAGACUGCGUUUCCCAGCCGGCCACGCCGGGAGCGCCGCGCGCAGAGCGCCGAGAUCCGCAGCGCCGGAUGCUGAGAACCUGGCAGAGGAGGAGGUGGAGAUUGUGGCAUGCUGAGAAGCACAGGGACAUGCUGCUGGGAACAGAGCAGGGUGGCUGUGAUGACCCUCUCCAUCCUGGGGACAAUGGUGAGAGCCCUCAUCCCAAAGCAUCUCAGUGGCAGAGAGCACAAGCACAGGAGGGGUUCAGCAGAUGGGCACCAGCGUGGGCAUCCUGCCCUGACCCCGUGGGAAGCACAUCGCUCCUUUGGCCACCACGUCAUUCCCCAGGAGGGCAGUUCAGAGCAGAAAGCCUGGAUCUGCCCUUGGCAGCAUCCAAAAGCGUCACCCCUCCUCCUGACCCCAGAGCCGGCCUAUCCCUUGGCAGCCACAUGGCAAAAUCCUUCAAUGUCUGUCUGUCCAGCACUGUGCAAGGGACAGACAGUGCCAGCUGAGAGCACGCACCUGGUGCUUGCUUUGCACAUAUGGAAAUUAUGGGCAGGAUGUGGCUCCAGCCUGAGUUCCGAGCAGCGGACCUGGCUGUGGUUUGGGCUGCUGUGAUUUGGGACCAGCCGGGCUGCAGCCGAUGGUUGCUUAGGAACUGCACACUCACAGCAAGCAAAUGGCUGAGAAAUAAGGCGUGUGAUCACUGCAGAACUGCCUCGUUUUCUGCAGUUGUCGGCAGAAAAAAAAUGCAACUGAAAGGCAGGAGCCACCCGAGGUGCGUGCCAUCCUGGGCGAGGUGCUGGAGGGGAGGAUUCCGUGGUCACGGCACGAGUGCUCUGUCUCCGUGCAUCCAUUCUCCAAUGAACAAGAGGGAGAAGAAGCCCCACUGGCGGAGGCAGCAUGCAGAAACUUGGGGCUGCACAAAAUGGGAAGUUCGAAGGGGCAGACCCCUGGAAGGCACCGGGCACUGUGCUCCCAGCAGCUCCCAGUGUCCCCAGAGCAGGCAACCCUCAGCAGGUCUGCGGUGCAGUGAGUGCUGCAGGGACAGAUCUGAGCACAGCAGUGAGACAUGCAGUACGUGACCCUGAGGACAGCUGCCCACCCUGAGGCAGCCCGACUGGUUGCAGGAUGCUGAUUAUUGCAUGCCAGCCCUCACACUGCUACUCUGCAUACAUCAUUUUAUGAUGUCCAGGACAGGAGGAAGGUUCAUAUACUCCAGUCUUCAUGGCAAUGCCAUGGCACCCACGGCACGGCCCUGCAUGACCAACUCAGAGCUUUUUGGUGGUUUUUUUGACAAACACCAGAACCUACAAUGAUCUCACAGGAUACCUCACCCCACUUGAGCCCUGAGGACCCUCACAAACUCUCUGUUAACCCCAGAACAUCACAGGCAGUCCCACCACAGGUUAUCCUUCCCCUGGGGGCCGCACUCCUGUCCCAGGGCUCUCACAGCCACCAGACCUGCACCACACUUUGGCAUCGCAUGGGUCAGCCCCACUUGGCUGGCUGCCGGGUGUCCCCACGCAGGAACCAGGCCAGCAGCUGCUUUCCUUAUCACCGCCUGCAACCAUGUGCUGUCCCUCACCCCUGUGGCUCCCAGCCCGGCUCACGUGGGGGCUUGGCAGCAGCACAGGGAAGCUUGCAUUGUGGCUGCCCACUGUGGCCGGGCUGUGGGAGAAAGCAAGGAUUUCCUGGCCUGGAGCAAGUCCUUCCCGUCUCCUCCCUGCAGUCCAGUGCUGGGGCUGGGAACCUGCCCAGGAGGCAGCAAGUGGAGCUGAGGUGCUUUGAUCAGCAUCGCAGUCCAGCGCCCAGACGGUGUCCCAGCAGCUCCGUCCAGGCACAAAAUGUCUAACUGGGGGACCGUGGGCAUGGGGCUGCUGCGGGAUGGCCUCACAGCCUUGCACUCUUGGCAAAAGCCCACUUGGGGAAGUAACCCGGGGGGGAUUUGUGUCCCUGGGCUGCAGCUGCCGUCCCUCGUUCUGAGCUGGGGGCAACCUGGAGCGCUGCCAAGGAGAAGCAUUUGUGCACUGGAAAAUGGCCCCGAGAGCCCCAGCUGGGGACACCUGGCCAGGCAGCUCACAUGCACAGCCACGGGCCUCCUGCUCCAAAUGUCAGUGCUUCUCUGAGCUGAGAAAUCGCUUCCUGCAGACGGAGGGGCCGGCGUGCUGCUGGCAGCAGCGCUGACACACAGCCAUGCUCAACCACUUUUGGUUUCACUGUGAGCAGCUGUGCGCAGCGACGCCGUGACCUCGUGGUUCAGCUGUGCCACAGCCACACAGAGAUGUCACAUCGGCUACAACGAGGGACGUUUUUAGGCUGUUUCCUGUUAUUUUUUCCAUGAUGGGGAAUUCCAUGUACUGGGGACAGUCUCAGUGGGAAGGGAACGGCUGUCACCUCUGCGCUGACCCGGUGCCUCUUAGAACUUUGCCAUUGCCCCAUCCUGGGGACAGCAUGGGGACCUUGUCCCCAGCAAAGAGCCGGGCCGGAGCAGGGCCACCGUACCCAUGGGAAGCUUUAGGCCCGCUCAGCACCCAGCUCCCAGCCAGGCCCUUGGCUCCGGCUCGCUCUCAGCAGAGCUCUGCUUUCUGUCCUGCCGCCCGCUUGUCCUCGCUCGGCUCAAACAGUCCCCGUUUGUUUGGCUCUCGCUGCCGGCUGGAGCCGGGGCCGCGUGCCGGGCCGCCUAUGCACAAGGGCCCCUUGUUUGCUGCCGCUCACCGGCCUCCCCCUCCUCGCUCACCCCUCGCCUGCUGUAGCAAUUAUCCCAAUUAGCCAUGCCCCUCCCUGCUGUGGGCUGCGCCGCAGACCCCCGUCCUUCCCUCUCCGUGGUGGUGGCAUCAGCACUGCUCCAUGCACAGGGACACCCCCUGGGCCACCGCCAUGGGGACGUGGGCACCUGGGAUGGAGCUGCUUGCUUGGAGUGGGAUAUGGGGGAUUGUGCCAAAUUCCGGUGUCUGGAGGCCGUGGUUCCUUGUAUGCCCUAGUCUGAGGAUGAGCAUGGCACUGCCUGGUCCUGCAGCUGCCAGCCCUGCACCGUUGGCUGCCCCACAUCGCACUGGUUUUCAUCCUGUCCCAACCUCAGGGCCAGGCAGUGUGGGCGCAGCCCAAUGCCUUCCUCUACACCAUGCACCACAGUCGGCACCUUCCUCCCACAGCUGCUGGCCUCACAACACCCAGGGCAGGCGCAUGAAAUUUCCACUCGCCGACGCAGGCUGGAGUUGUGGCUUCCCCCUGCCAUUCCCAUACAUCAAGGCCAUCUUCCCCUCCUGAGCCCCGGGGCAGUGCUGGGAGUCCUUGAGCGGGACCACCCCCAGACAGGGCACGGCACGGCAGAGCAUUUAUUUCUGCACCCUGGCAAUGUGCAUCCCGUAUGCAUCUGGGCAGACAGACCUCACAUCUUCUGCCCGUGAGCUGUAGGGUGAGCAGAGCCCCAUGCAUGGUGGCAGACUGGGGGCGAGACCCCCCCCAGCUGAACCACACAGCGGUCAUGCCAGGACGCAGCAUUACAGUGCAGGCAUCAGCAGGCAGUGCAGUGCUGCUGGGAUGGCUCAGAGCACCCCAUCUCGUGCUGACAGCAGCCCUGAGCUCCCAGGGUUGGAGCUUGGCGUCUCGAGUCAGCCUGUCUGCUCCCAUUUGUGUCUGCUGUGUUUGUGAGCACUGGGCUCACGCAGCCUAGCAGCCCCGUGUUGCUGCAGCCUCCUGCACCACUCAAGGUCCUCCCAUGACCCCAUCACACAUCGGCAGAGCCCUGUUCUGCACUUGCCCUCGGGUGUGCACCCAGAGCAGCACUUUCAUCCUCAUCAACAGGACUCAUCCUCAUAGGACUCCUCAUCCUUGUCCAGGAAUGCUGCAGAGCAUCCUGCAGGCUGUGUGGUGCCUGGAGCUCUGCACAGCUUCCCCCCAGAUCCAUCCCUGACACGUAGCAUCAGCUCACAAUGGUGCAAGUCUGUGCACAGCACUGCCCUUGGUGGCUCCCCCAGCAGCCAUGUCCCCUUCCAGAUUGCAGCUCUCUCUUCUGGCUUUCACUUGGAGCUGGCCCUGGGGUAACGGCUCUGAUUCCUGCACCCUGUGGAAGCACCUAGAGGAUGGAAGAAAUCAAUAAGAGGAAAGAGGCAGUGGAAAUCCUAAGGCCAGGUGAUGCCCAUCAGCCCUGAAAACCACCUUGUUGCUGGAGCACCCCACAGCCAUCACUGCCAUGCAGGAGGCAGCUCCCUCCUGUGGGAGUCGGGUACUGCGCAUUGUGCUGCCAGGGAAUUCCCGGCUCCCCAGGCCCCAGCCUGUCCCAGCUUUGCACAUCACUGCACUUUUCAUGUGCUGAGCCCUGUGCUGCAGCUCUGUGUGCUGCACGCUGUGCUCAGCCCUGCUCAAACCACAGCAAAGGCACCUGGGGCCCCACGCUCCCCUACAGCCGCAGAGCCGGGCGGGCUGCUGCACACCCACACUGCUCCUACAGGGUAAAGCAAGAGCCUCUGGUUCAGCUUCACCCCCAAGUGAGCUGGAAAUGCAGUGCAAAGCUGUGUGCACAGGCACCAGGUGCCCGAGCUGGGCAGGUACAAUAGGCAGGAGGCCUGGGGCUGUGCCGACACCCUGCUGGGGACCCAAGCAAAGCAAAGCUGGGGACAGCAGGGUCACAGCUGCAAUGACACAGUGCGUCCCUCCAAUACAGCAGCCCAGGCACCAGGGCUACUACACUGACUCCCAGCAGAAGAGCUGGGAAAAACCACAGCACCGCUCCUGAGCCCCACAUGGUCUGCAAGCAGGUUGCUGGGGGGUCAGGGUCAUCACGGCCAGAAGGAAGGUGAUGGCAGUCAGACCCCCCUGCCUCAGUUUACCUUCCUCAUGCCUAUCCAUCCCAUCCUGCCGUGGGGCAGUAGGAGGCAUGGUGGAUCUGCAGCACCAACAGUGUGAUUUAACCAUAAAAAUAAUGCUCAUCACUCCUGGGAUCUUGGUGGGGCUUUUGGAACCCACAGAGACUGUGUGUACAGAGUUCAGCGUCCCUGCAGCCCCCGGGUGCAUGGCAACACAGGGAUGAGCCACGGACAUUAUGGGAACUUUGCAGAUAUUCUGAGCACCUCAUUUCUCACAUUGGGGGCUGUGUACAGGGCUGGAAGCCCACAAAGGACCACUUCCAACCCCCUGCAGAUGCAUUCAAACAGUGCACAAAUGGUCAGGGCCCGACAGCCCCCAGCCCACGCACUGCUGCUGCUGCAAACAGCAACCAGGGCAGAAAUAGCAGCUCACAGCAAGAAUUCCACCGCCUCCUUGGCCAAUGUUCCAACAGCAUUCCUCCUUCAGAGCUGUAUUGGCUCACCCUGGGCAAGCACCCGUCUGUGGGAGCCCAGCCCUGGCCCUGCACCGCAUGGGGCUCACCCUGUGCCACUGCAGCAAUGCCACUUCAGCUGGGUGCAGCUGUGGUCCUAUCCUGACCCCACUGCUGCUCAAGACUGCGCAGAAGGAAGGAGACAACCAGAUACCUGGUAGGGCCCCGCUGAGCACAGCUGCUCUCUGCAGAGCUGGAGGUGAGCUCAUUUUUGGGUGCAUUAUCAGCAUGCUGAGUGAUUCACCUGUACACAACCCGGUCAUUGCAAGGAGCAGGCUGGAUUUUGGAACAAAUUGUUGAUGUGUACAAGACCCAGACAAACAAACUCCAUAAGAAGAGUGGCAGGCAACAAAUAGACAGGACAUGAAUCAUCAGCAGGGCAGGUAUGCAGGUGGCUGUGGGGACAUGAAGGAGCACAGUGUGUGCCGGGAGCUCAGUGCUGGGGCAGCGUGCAGCGCUGGGGCUGUUGGCACUUGUCCUGUUGGAUGAGCAACAACCCUGUUGGAGCAGAUCACUGAGCACACUGUUAAUCCAGAUGUGCAAUAAAGUGCUGAGUGUGCGACUGGA
Meleagris gallopavo (turkey) is the source of this 7138-nucleotide non-coding RNA. The record is from RefSeq and is a predicted model, not a curated record. NCBI's taxonomy places the organism in Eukaryota, Metazoa, Chordata, Aves, Galliformes, Phasianidae.